Molecule: long non-coding RNA, 970 nt
Organism: Cyprinodon tularosa
Lineage: Eukaryota; Metazoa; Chordata; Actinopteri; Cyprinodontiformes; Cyprinodontidae
Exons: 2
Source: RefSeq, a predicted model, not a curated record
CUGCACGUAGAACAAGUGUGUCCUGCAGAAAGAGGAAGGAGCCAGCAUGUCAUUUUAAAGUGAGGUUUCCAGAGGAAAUGUUUCACCUUAAUCACCAGGGAUCAAUCAGGAAGCAUGCCUGAACAAGUCACCUUCGCUGCUCAGCCUUUUUAACCCACUCCUGACACUUGCUCCCUAUACAAUGACCUAAGAGGGCCACCUAACCCCAAGGCUGAAAGGUCAAGUAACCUCCUACACCCUGCUGGGUUCAGGGGCACUGACAUGACAACCCAUCAGCACCCCAGAUCAAGUGGUCUGGACUUGCCCCUCCUGCUCUGUGUUAUACACCUAACUGGAUGAGCACACUAAAUACAAGUGUACCAAAUCUAUCCACAUAAAAAAUUUUUUAUAAAACCCAGACCUGAAAAACAAAUCUGAUUGAUAAAUAAACAAAUAGACACAGAGACAAUUUCCAUUCUAGCAUCCAAGUUAUAUACAAACUAAAAAAUUACUUUUGAGGACAUGUGAGACCGAUUGACACCACUGGCUUGUAGUUUGCAAGUUCUGAAGAAAAAAAAAAAGAAAAAGGGAAUUUUAUUUCCACUUAAGAUUUGCACACCUAGUGACAUAUCUAGUUUAUAUCACGGGACAACAAUAGAAGCUAUACAUUUUUCAGAUUCUGAGUAAAACCAGCUGCAAGUUAUUAGUUUCCCCCAUGGACUGACAACACUCUUUCCUCUAAAUACACCAAUUGCUUGAGAUAUGUCAGGUAAAAAUACUUCACCCCAAACAGUGAACAAGUGGACCAAUUCUCACAAUAUAAAGACUAAUAUUGCAGAAGCACGGUCCACAGCUCAUAGAUGCCUGAGCUCUUUGGCAAUUAAUAAUUUUAUUUAAAUAAUCUGAGAUCUUAAAAUAAAACAUGCAAAUUCAUAUGCAUGACCAGGGAAUUGAAUUUAAACCAAUGCAGAGGCACAAAGGUAAAAAAAAA